AAUAAACACUUCCAAUUGCCACCUAUUCCCCUCUACCUCAGAGAACAACUAAUCCCUCUCUGCUCCCGCAGUGCUGGGCCGCCUAGACUGGGAGGCCAGGCCUACUUCUGGAGAGAGCAGGGAAGGAGAAGACAAGGGGGUAGUUACCUGAACAAAUCGUCGUCUGAAUCCAACGAAAAUCCAAAAGGGGGAGAAAAAUCCACUCCCUCCCUCCUCAGAGAAGCCGCUGCCGAACCACCACCACCACGGAGCAGGAGGAGGAGGGGAGAUAAUAUAACAACAAUAAUCCGGGCCGGGAGGGGGGCUAGUUCCUCUUCCGCCUCCUCCUCAGUGCAGCGAACAUGUAGAGCCGAGCGGCGAGCGACCAAGACAAAUCCCUUCCCCCUGAGUCUGCUUCACGAACAAAAUGCCGACCGGAAGUGCAGCUGCAGGAAUGACUCCCUCCACCGGCGACCAAACAUAACAGCCUCUCCCUUUCCUCCACUGUCGCCUCCUCAUUUGCCUGGCUGGCACUGCUUCCGUUGGCACUGCGUUGCUUUACAUUACCCCCUCCCAGCUUUGCUGCAACCGAAGUUCCCUUGUCUCACCGCACCUGGCAGUGAUGGACACAGCUGAACCUGUGCUGCAUGGCUGUCACUCCACUUCCCACCCAUCUGGCUUCCGCCUGAAUUUUUCUUCUUUUCCCUGAUGGUGUACAGAACUAGACCAGAGUUUGCACUCAGGCCUGCACUGAAAGAAAAGCAGCUAGAGAUUUGUGAAAAAGUGAUCUUUGAAAAAAAAUACAUAUUUUGAGUUUAUUUUUUUUAUCUUACUUAAGGAUGGUAGGGAGAAGGAUUUACAAAUGACUGCAAAAUGCUACCUCAUAGGAGGCAGACUUAAGAAGGCAACUUAUAAUGAAGCCAUGAAGGCAGCAGUCUCCAUCAGCCCCAGCUGUGGCAAAUCUGGGACACUUACUGGAAUUACCGUUACCAUUACUGAUAAUCUCUGUGGAAUUUAAGAGGCUGUGUCACAGGAACUGUGGGAAUGGAAUGUUGUUUCUACAUUUGAUAUUAAAACGUAGCAAUUGGUUUGAAGAAGUAGAACAUAAUGCAUUUGUAUUUUGUAACUUAUCCUUAGAAAUAGUUGAUCUAAGAAGUAAAAUACUGUAUAUGUUAGCGGCAUGUUUUAGAAACAUUAUUACUGAAUUAUGUGAUUAAUUCUUUCUUGCAAAACUGUAAUAGUUGUUAAAUGUUCCAAACAAUGCGAGUAUAGUGUGCUAAGGAUUAGAAAACAUAUUGUAGAGCUGUUCUCUUAGGAUAAGAAACUCUCAGCAAAAGAAAGACAGAUUUAGCAAACAUCAAAGAAGUUAGGGCCUCUACACAAGGCUGAACUGUCUCAGUCCGUGAGAAGGUUGGGGUGUGAAGGCAGGCACCAGGAUACUCCCCUGCCUCUCUCCCAAGCUUAUCUUUGUAGAAAGAAGGACAAGCAGAUAUCUGCAAAAUAAUGAUCAGAUGUGGAAUAAGUUAAUUAACUACAGAUUUACGCUUAUACAGCAAAAAUUUAUGUUUGUCCAGUGUUUCCAUGUAUUGAAUCGUUGAGAAGAUUGUGAACCUGAAGUACUCAGCCAAUGAGGAACCAGGGGAGUAAGAGAUAAGCGUCGGGGAAUAGGGAAUAAAAGAUGUAACUCUGUUUUCUGUGUGCUCUCC
This 1685-nucleotide long non-coding RNA is filed under the name Phasianus colchicus (ring-necked pheasant). RNAcentral's name for it is "lncRNA (ENSPCLG00000013282.1)". Lineage: Eukaryota; Metazoa; Chordata; Aves; Galliformes; Phasianidae. The record is from RNAcentral.